Molecule: small nucleolar RNA, 106 nt
Filed under: Ricinus communis (castor bean)
Lineage: Eukaryota; Viridiplantae; Streptophyta; Magnoliopsida; Malpighiales; Euphorbiaceae
Description: Plant small nucleolar RNA R71
Rfam family: Plant small nucleolar RNA R71
About the family: R71 is a member of the C/D box family of snoRNAs containing the C (UGAUGA) and D (CUGA) box motifs.
Source: Rfam by way of RNAcentral
AAACCGUGGUGUGGGCAACAUCUCAGCAAGUCCUUGCACUUCUCCUACACAUCAUACAUGCUCUUAUCAUCAAACUACACAAAAGAAGAAAUAUCAUUAUGUAUCU